RNAcentral lists this ribosomal RNA (486 nucleotides) under uncultured bacterium. RNAcentral describes it as "partial 16S ribosomal RNA". It matches the Rfam family "Bacterial small subunit ribosomal RNA", at positions 30 to 507 of the family's 1533-position model. The record is from RNAcentral.
AUUGAACGCUGGCAGCAUGCCUUACACAUGCAAGUCGAACGGCAGCACGGGUGCUUGCACCUGGUGGCGAGUGGCGAACGGGUGAGUAAUACAUCGGAACAUGUCCUGUAGUGGGGGAUAGCCCGGCGAAAGCCGGAUUAAUACCGCAUACGCUCUACGGAUGAAAGCGGGGGACCUUCGGGCCUCGCGCUAUAGGGUUGGCCGAUGGCUGAUUAGCUAGUUGGUGGGGUAAAGGCCUACCAAGGCGACGAUCAGUAGCUGGUCUGAGAGGACGACCAGCCACACUGGGACUGAGACACGGCCCAGACUCCUACGGGAGGCAGCAGUGGGGAAUUUUGGACAAUGGGCGAAAGCCUGAUCCAGCAAUGCCGCGUGUGUGAAGAAGGCCUUCGGGUUGUAAAGCACUUUUGUCCGGAAAGAAAUCCUUGGCUCUAAUACAGUCGGGGGAUGACGGUACCGGAAGAAUAAGCACCGGCUAACUACGUG